UCACGCUGGCGGUAGGCCUAACACAUGCAAGUCGAACGGCAGCACAGGAGAGCUUGCUCUCUGGGUGGCGAGUGGCGGACGGGUGAGGAAUACAUCGGAAUCUACUUUUUCGUGGGGGAUAACGUAGGGAAACUUACGCUAAUACCGCAUACGACCUACGGGUGAAAGCAGGGGAUCUUCGGACCUUGCGCGAUUGAAUGAGCCGAUGUCGGAUUAGCUAGUUGGCGGGGUAAAGGCCCACCAAGGCGACGAUCCGUAGCUGGUCUGAGAGGAUGAUCAGCCACACUGGAACUGAGACACGGUCCAGACUCCUACGGGAGGCAGCAGUGGGGAAUAUUGGACAAUGGGCGCAAGCCUGAUCCAGCCAUACCGCGUGGGUGAAGAAGGCCUUCGGGUUGUAAAGCCCUUUUGUUGGGAAAGAAAUCCAGCUGGCUAAUACCCGGUUGGGAUGACGGUACCCAAAGAAUAAGCACCGGCUAACUUCGUGCCAGCAGCCGCGGUAAUACGAAGGGUGCAAGCGUUACUCGGAAUUACUGGGCGUAAAGCGUGCGUAGGUGGUCGUUUAAGUCCGUUGUGAAAGCCCUGGGCUCAACCUGGGAACUGCAGUGGAUACUGGGCGACUAGAGUGUGGUAGAGGGUAGCGGAAUUCCUGGUGUAACAAUNGAAAUGCGUAGAGAUCAGGAGGAACAUUCAUGGCGAAAGCAGNUACCUGGACCCAACACUUGCCACUUGAGGCACCGAAAGCCUUGNNAGCAAACAGGGAUUAGGUACCCCGGUAGUCCACGCCCUAAACGAUGCC
RNAcentral lists this ribosomal RNA (799 nucleotides) under uncultured bacterium SE-77. Its description in RNAcentral is "bacterial SSU rRNA". It matches the Rfam family "Bacterial small subunit ribosomal RNA", at positions 31 to 813 of the family's 1533-position model. The record is from RNAcentral.